RNAcentral lists this ribosomal RNA (4066 nucleotides) under Candidatus Microgenomates bacterium. RNAcentral's name for it is "23S ribosomal RNA". The stretch from base 1 to 3085 matches the Rfam family "Bacterial large subunit ribosomal RNA". Lineage: Bacteria; Candidatus Microgenomatota. The record is from RNAcentral.
GUUAGCUUAAUUAAAAGCAUAUUGGUGGAUACCUUGGGAUAGAUGGCCGAAGAAGGACGUGAUAGGCUGCGAUAAGCUUCGGGAAGGCGCCUAAAGCCUGUGAUCCGGAGAUUUCCGAAUGGGGAAACCCAUGAGCGUAAAACGCUCAUACUCCGACUUUGAGUCGGAGAGGUAAGCGAGCGAACUGAAACAUCCAAGUAGCUCGAGGAAAAGAAAACAAAGUUAUUCCCUGAGUAGUGGCGAGCGAAACGGGAAGAGUCUAAACCAUGCAGGUGUCAAGGCCACAGCCGUUGCCUGCGUGGAGUUGCAAGAGCAAACGUUCUCAACUGUGAUUGAGAGGCAAAGUAAAAAAACAUAUUGCUAGUCGAAGGUCUCUGGAAGGAGCCGUCAAAGAGGGUGAUAGCCCCGUAGACGAAAGCGGUAUGUCUUUGCUGUUUGUUUCUUAAGUACUAUAGGACACGUGAAAUCCUGUAGGAAGCUGGGGAGACCACUCUCCAAGACUAAAUACCAUCUGUCACCGAUAGUGAACUAGUACCGUGAGGGAAAGGUGAAAAGAACCCCGGGAGGGGAGUGAAAUAGAAUAUGAAACCAUAUGCUUACAAGAUAUAGGAGCCGCCGUACCUCACUGUGUUCGGUACGGAAUGUCUAAUAUCUAAUUGACCUAAUUUCUAAUAAAAUACCCAAUAAAUAACUUCCCAAUAAUUAAGUUUUGGGUUUUGUGAUUUGGAAUUUGUUUAGAAAUUAGAACUUAGAAAUUAGAAAUUUCGUCCGCCGAGCAUAGCGAGGUGCGACGGUGACUGUGUUCCUAUUGAUGAAUGCGCCAACGAGUUAGCUAGGCGUGGCAAGGUUAAGCCUUUAAAGGCGGAGCCGUAGUGAAAGCGAGCAUUAAAAUGCGAAUAGUCGCGUCUACUAGACCCGAAACCAGGUGAUCUACCCAUGGUCAGGAUGAACCCCACCGAAAGGUGUGGAGGAGGUCCGAACCCAUUAGUGUUGCAAAACUACGGGAUGAACUGUGGGUCGCAGAGAAAUUCUAAUCGAACCUGGUGAUAGCUGGUUCUCUUCGAAAUAUAUUUAGGUAUAGCUCCCAACUUAUAAUCAGGAGGGGUAGAGCACUGGAUGGGCAUUUGUUCCUUCGGGGACAAUGUCCAAACAAACUCCGAAUACUUCUGACAGUGUUGGGAAGUCAGACUGUGGGGGCUAAGCUCCAUAGUCGAGAGGGAAAGAACCCAGACCGCAAUCUAAGGUCCCUAAACAUGUCUAAGUGGAAAAGGAAGUGAGAUUACUUAAACAACCAGGAGGUUGGCUUAGAAGCAGCCAUCCUUUAAAGAAAGCGUAACAGCUCACUGGUCAAGUGAUUUUGCGCCGACAAUUCAACGGGGCUAAGGCAUGUACCGAAGAUGCGGAUGUCAGUGCGGAGCACUGACACACGAAUUGCACAAAUCUUUGAACGAAUCUCACGAAUUUAUUCGUGGUAUUAGUUUUUUGUUCGUGUGAUUAGUGUGCCAAUGCUCUGCAUCGACAUGGUAGAAGAGCGUUCUUGAUGCGCUGAAGCUGACGCGUGAGCGUUGGUGGAGCGUCAAGAAGUGAGAAUGUUGGCAUGAGUAGCGAUAACUCCGGUGAAAAACCGGGGCGCCGUAAAACCAAGGUUUCCUGGACCACGGUAAUCGUUCCAGGGUUAGUCGGUCCUAAGCCAAACCCGAAAGGGGCAGGCGAUGGACAACAGGUUAAUAUUCCUGUACUGUCGUAGUAUCGCCCAAAUACUGUCCUUUGCAAGAUAAGAUUUAUCUUUUCGCGCAUUGGGUGGUCAGCAAUGGGGUGACGCAUUUUUGAGCUUGGAGCAUCUUUUGGCUAUUGGUGUUUAAGCGUAUUUGGUGGUUUGAUAGGAAAAUCCGCAAACAAAUCCAGGUGCGCGAGUAAGACCCGCCGAUGAGGCGGGGAUUCCAGGGGAAAAGGUGACAAGAAAAACCUCUAGCGAGAUACUAUGAUAACCGUACCGUAAACCGACUCAGGUGGUUGAGGAGAGUAUCCUCAGGCGUUUGGAAGAACCUUCGUUAAGGAACUCGGCAAAAAAGCGUGCGUAAGUUAGCGAUAAGCACUGUCCCCCAUCACUUUGCAAACAUAAUUUUGUGAAAACUAAUGUUAUAGCAACAAGAAUACAUUGGUUAAUUUACUGAUUAUGUUAUCAAAGUGAUGGGGGAUCGCAGCGAAAGAGCCCAGCCAACUGUUUAGCAAAAACACAGGUCCCUGCUAACUCUUAAAGAGGAUGUAUAGGGGCUGACGCCUGCCCAAUGCCAGAAGGUCACGGAAGGGGGUUAGCGUGCUUUGCACGCAAAGCUUCUAACCUAAGCCCUGGUGAAUGGCGGCCCUAACUAUAAGGGUCCUAAGGUAGCGAAAUUCCUUGUCUGGUAAGUUCAGACCCGCACGAAAGGCGUAAUGAUCUGGGCGCUGUCUCAACGAAGGAUCCAGCGAAAUUACAAUAACGGUAAAGAUGCCGUUUACUCACAGCAAGACGGAAAGACCCCAUGAAGCUUUACUAUAGCCUGACAUUGAAUUAAGAUUUUGUCAUGCGUAGCAUAGGUGGGAGACUUUGAAGUUCCGCUUUUGGGCGGGACAGAGUCGUUAGUGAAAUACCACCCUUAUAAGAUUUUGAUUCUAACCGGUCGAAAGACUGAGACAGUGUUUGGUGGGUAGUUUGACUGGGGCGGUGGCCUCCUAAAAUGUAACGGAGGCGUUCAAAGGUCAACUAGCUCCGGAUGGAAAUCGGAGCGAUAGCGCAAAAGCAAAAGUUGGCUUGACUGCGAGACGAACAUGUCGAGCAGGGCGGAAACGCGGAUUUAGUGAUCCUUCGAUGCAACGUGGGUUGCUCGAAGCUCAACGGAUAAAAGUUACUCUGGGGAUAACAGGCUGAUCCUAUCCAAGAGUCCACAUCGACGAUAGGGUUUGGCACCUCGAUGUCGGCUCGUCGCAUCCUGGGGGUGGAGCAACUCCCAAGGGUUUGGCUGUUCGCCAAUUAAAGCGGUACGCGAGCUGGGUUCAGAACGUAAAUAACAUUGCGUUGUGUAUCGGGAAACUGAUAUACUAGUAUUGACUUAUAUCGGUGAAGCCCUACUCUCUUUUACCAAACUAGAGAGAGGGUAAUACCGAGGGAAGAUUUAAGAUUAUGCCAAAAAGUAAUGAUGCCUAUAUUGCUGGUUUUCUUGAUGGCGAUGGAUCCAUAAUGGCUCAAAUCAUCAAGAAAAAUGAUUAUCGAUUUGGAUUUCAAAUCCGAACGAGUAUUGUUUUCUACCAAAAACAAGGCAAGGAAAGUUUUAUGAAUUGGUUGAAGAAUCAAUUACAUUAUGGAUAUAUUCGCAAAAGAAAAGACGGAAUGACAGAGUAUGCCAUAGUCGGUUUCAAGGAAGUUGAAGAGAUUCUGAAAAGAUUUCACUCGCAUCUGAUUCUCAAAAAAGAAUUAGCGAGUCUAGUCCUAAAAAUAGUUCAAAUGCCAAAGAAACCAACAGUAAAACAAUUUCUUGCAAACUGCGAAAUGGUAGAUAGAUCAGCGAUGUUUAAUUAUUCCAAAAAACGAAAGAUAAGAACGCAACAGGUGAAAGAAUACUUGGCAAAAAAUAAUCUUAUUUCCCCGUAACGACUCAUAAUUAUUCGGCAAAAAUAAUUAUGGAUGGUUUAUUCAAGAAAUCUUGGAAUUCCAUAACACGUCAACCCCUCCUCCGAGGCGUCGGAAAGGGUGAAGAUAUAGUCUGCGCCAUUAGUAAUAAUGGAAUAACGUGCGUGAGACAGUUUGGUCCUUAUCUGCUGUGAGCGCAAGAAACUUGAGAGGGGUCGUCUCUAGUACGAGAGGACCGAGACGAACGAGCCUCUGGUGUACCAGUUGUUCUGCCAAGAGCAUUGCUGGGUAGCUAUCGCUCGGAAGAGAUAAACGCUGAAAGCAUCUAAGCGUGAAACUCGCCUCAAGACUAGGUUUCAUUAAGAUUCCUGGCAGAUCACCAGGUUGAUAGGCUGCAGGUGCAAGGGCAGUAAUGUCUUCAGCCGAGCAGUACUAAUAAAUCGUAAGUUAAUUCUACAA